UACGUAGGGUCCGAGCGUUGUCCGGAAUUACUGGGCGUAAAGAGCUCGUAGGUGGUUUGUCGCGUUGUUCGUGAAAACUCACAGCUCAACUGUGGGCGUGCGGGCGAUACGGGCAGACUAGAGUACUGCAGGGGAGACUGGAAUUCCUGGUGUAGCGGUGGAAUGCGCAGAUAUCAGGAGGAACACCGGGUGGCGAAGGCGGGUCUCUGGGGCAG
Molecule: ribosomal RNA, 215 nt
Filed under: uncultured bacterium
Lineage: Bacteria
Description: partial 16S ribosomal RNA
Rfam family: Bacterial small subunit ribosomal RNA
Source: RNAcentral